This 483-nucleotide long non-coding RNA is filed under the name Rattus norvegicus (Norway rat). RNAcentral's name for it is "long non-coding RNA NONRATT000562". Lineage: Eukaryota; Metazoa; Chordata; Mammalia; Rodentia; Muridae. The record is from RNAcentral.
CGAUGACAGUUUCCAGCAAACUCCUCGGCCUGCUGAUGCAGCAGCUGAGAGGUACCCGCCAGCUGUACUUCAACGUCAGCCUUCGAUCUCUGAGCUCCUCUGCACAAGAGGCGUCCAAAAGAAUCCCUGAGGAAGUCUCAGACCACAACUACGAGUCUAUUCAAGUAACAUCUGCCCAGAAGCAUGUUCUGCAUGUACAACUAAACCGGCCGGAGAAGAGGAAUGCCAUGAACAGGGCUUUCUGGAGGUCUGGCCUGCAAACCCAUAAGCCUAUCUGCUAGAGUAGGCAGAGGUGGGCAGGGAUAGAGGCUUCCCAUUCCAGAUAACCCUUUACUUCUUGUGCCUUUGCAGGGAGUUGGUGGAAUGCUUCCAAAAGAUAUCUAAAGACUCCGACUGUCGGGCUGUUGUGGUCUCUGGUGCAGGAAAGAUGUUCACUUCAGGUAUUGACCUCAUGGACAUGGCAUCAGACAUCCUGCAGCCCCC